RNAcentral lists this transfer RNA (72 nucleotides) under Stenocercus chrysopygus. RNAcentral describes it as "tRNA-Ile". Lineage: Eukaryota; Metazoa; Chordata; Lepidosauria; Squamata; Tropiduridae. The record is from RNAcentral.
GGAAGCGUGCCUGAGUUACCAAGGGUUACUUUGAUAGAGUAAACCACAGAGAUUCGAACCCUCUCACUUCCU